This 63-nucleotide transfer RNA is filed under the name Rhizorhabdus wittichii DC-6. RNAcentral's name for it is "Sphingomonas wittichii DC-6 tRNA-OTHER". The stretch from base 8 to 59 matches the Rfam family "tRNA", at positions 7 to 64 of the family's 71-position model. From Rfam's summary of the family: Transfer RNA (tRNA) molecules are approximately 80 nucleotides in length. Lineage: Bacteria; Pseudomonadati; Pseudomonadota; Alphaproteobacteria; Sphingomonadales; Rhizorhabdaceae. The record is from RNAcentral.
GCCCGGAGUAGCUCAGCGGUAGAGCAGCCCAAUGGGGAGACGGAGGUUCGAAUCCUCCCGGCG